Equus caballus (horse) is the source of this 2450-nucleotide RNA transcript. It is a transcript of the gene named CD300 molecule like family member g, with no coding region annotated. The record is from RefSeq and is a predicted model, not a curated record. NCBI's taxonomy places the organism in Eukaryota, Metazoa, Chordata, Mammalia, Perissodactyla, Equidae.
CACAUCUGGAGGAAGUCAAAGCCGCGCGGCCCAGAGAGGAGCUCCCAGUUCCCGGCGUGUGCUCCGCGGGUCCAGCGCCCACCAUGCGGCCCCUGGUCCUGCUGUGGGGCUGCCUCGUGCUCCCAGGUUAUGGAGUCCUGGUGGGCCCGAAGGAGAUCAGCGGAUUUGAAGGUGACACCUUGUCCCUGCAGUGCACCUACGGGGAGGAGCUGAAGAAGCACAAGAAAUACUGGUGCAGGGAGGGCGGUCUCCUGAUCUCCCGCUGCUCAGGCACUAUCUAUGCGGAAGAAGACGGCCAAGAGAGGACGGCAGGCAGGGUGUCCGUCUGGGACAGCCCCGAGGAGCUCACGCUCACCGUGACCCUGAGGAACCUCACCCUGCAGGACGCCGGGAAGUACUGGUGUGGGGUCUCAAGACUGGGCUUUGACUGGAGUUUCUUGGUGUCUCUGCGCGUCCUUCCAGGUCCCUGCUGUCUUCCCUCCCCCACGCCCUCCUUCCAGCCUCUUGCCACAAGGAGCCUCCAGCCCAAGGCAAAAACUUGGCAAACGCAGCCCCCAGAAUUGACUUCUCCUGGUCUCCACCCGACAGUCACCACAGCCAAGCAGAAGACAGGGGCCGAGGCCUCUCCGUUCACAGGGACCUCCGCGUCCAGGCACACGCAAGCCUCCCCGUACGCGGGAACCGCUCCGUACGCAGGGACCUCUCCUCACGCAGUGACCUCUCCGUUCACGGGGACCCCUCCUCACGAAGCCACCUCUCCUCAUGCAGGGACCUCCCGCCCAGCCACGCAGCUGGACUCCACCUCGGCAGAGACCAGUCUUGUCCCCAGCAGCCGCAGCUCCAAGUCCAGGGUGUCCAUCCCCAUGGUCCGCAUCUUGGCCCCGGUCCUGGUGCUGCUGAGCCUUCUGCUGACCGCAGGCCUGGCUGCCCUCAGCAGGUACCUGCUCCGGCGGAGGAAGGAAGCUCAACUGGCCGCCGAGACACAGAGGAUGGAGAAGGUGCACCUCCCACACUCGCCGCUGGAGAACUGCUGGGUCCAGGAGUGCGCCAAGAUCAACACUGCAGGGCCUGCUGGGCCUCGAGCCAGCCCCCAGCCCUCCUCCAGUCCCUGCAGGGACAUCGGGUGCCUAAGCCAGAAAAUUCUUGAAUAGCUUGUCAGGAGUCACAGCUUAAAGAGCUCUGGGCUGGCAGGAUUCCAACAUCUGCAGCCAGAACCUGACUUCAGAGGAAGCUGAAGCCUCUUCCCGGGACCCAGAGGGGGCCACGAUCCCAGGGCCUCCCCUCCACUUGUCUGAGGAGGAGCUUGACUUCUCUAAGUUCAUCUCGGUCUAGCCACAGAAUGCCCUCCAGGCCAGGCCUGCUGUGAAGCUGAAUGGCUGGAUUUGCACCUACUCUAAUAAGCUUUCUGCUACAGCUUCAGAGUUCACCUGCCAGACUCCAGGGCUCCCCCUCCCCCUCCCCAGGCUCUCCUCCUGCAUGCCCCAGCCUGACCUGGGAGCCUUUGUGGGCCGUGGAGCCCACAGUGGUGGCCUCACAGUUCCGGCAGAGACUGGCACCUCCCCAAUGUGUUCACAUCCCUGGGCAGGGCUUGCAGCUGCUGGACCUAGACUGUCACCAGGGCCAGGCAGGGCUCAGGAGAGCUGGUCUGGGCUUGUAUCUGCUGCAGGAAAUCCCAAGGGCCUGGGUGCCCAGCAACAUGCCUCCCCCCACUCCACCCCACCUUCUCCUCCCUUCCUUCCCUCCUCAGCCUCAGCACCCCUUUCUCCUGCAUAAGCUGGGGAGGAGGGAGCGUGCUGGCGUUGGACUGGGUUCUGAUUUCCUGAAGCGUGGCUAUGAACCACCUGCAUCCCAGUCCUUCAGGAAGCUGGUGAAAAAUGUGAUUCCUGGGCCCAGGACUCUGCAUUUCUAACAAGAGCCCAGUGAUUCGAAUACUCGAGUUAGAGAAGCAGUGGCCCUGUUGAACGCUCAGGUCCCUCCAGCUUUGAAUCUACACUUUGUGUGUGGGGUCUCCCACCUGCCCCCUGUAGGGGUUGCUGUGCCCACGACACCAUGAGCCAGCUGGGGGCUUUCCGGGGCCUGCCUGAGUCCAGAUCCAGGGCAGGGGCACACCGGAAGGGGUGAAUCCAGUAGGGGCAGGAGAGAGGGGACAGGGCAGGAACCUAAGGGGAACCUGAACGUGACCCUGACUCAGGCUCUCUGGAGAUGGGGUGGGAGUGAGGGGUUAGAAUUACAGAACUACUAUUGUUUCUUUUUCUAUUUUCUUUAAAAAGUGAAAGGAGGGGUUGCUCAGUAUACAAAACUUAGAAAGAUAGAAGAGGAGAAAAGUCAGCCAUGGUCUCGCCAUCGCCCGGACAAUCCUCACUGCAUUUUGUUGUAUUUCCUUCCAGUCUUUUCCCUUCCCGUCGUUUGCUGGUGUUCUUUUACAAAUAUUUUGUAUGUACAACUUUGUA